RNAcentral lists this ribosomal RNA (266 nucleotides) under uncultured bacterium. Its description in RNAcentral is "partial 16S ribosomal RNA". It matches the Rfam family "Bacterial small subunit ribosomal RNA", at positions 88 to 354 of the family's 1533-position model. The record is from RNAcentral.
CGUUUUAGUGGCGGACGGGUGAGUAACGCGUGGGUAACCUGCCUCACACUGGGGGAUAACACUUAGAAAUAGGUGCUAAUACCGCAUAAGCGCACGGGACUGCAUGGUCUUGUGUGAAAAACUCCGGUGGUGUGAGAUGGACCCGCGUCUGAUUAGCUGGUUGGCGGGGUAACGGCCCACCAAGGCGACGAUCAGUAGCCGGCCUGAGAGGGUGGACGGCCACAUUGGGACUGAGACACGGCCCAAACUCCUACGGAAGGCAGCAG